RNAcentral lists this ribosomal RNA (497 nucleotides) under uncultured bacterium. Its description in RNAcentral is "partial 16S ribosomal RNA". It matches the Rfam family "Bacterial small subunit ribosomal RNA", at positions 28 to 507 of the family's 1533-position model. The record is from RNAcentral.
GAUGAACGCUGGCGGCGUGCCUAACACAUGCAAGUCGAACGGAAAGACGAUGAGCGCGUGCUCCUCACGUUGGCGGCGGGCGGGUGAGUGACGCGUGGAUAGCCUUCCUCUUUGUCGUGGGGGAUUUCGGGAGGCCGGAGCCACUAAUGGAGAAUAUGUUGAACCGGAUGGUUCAAUAGUGAUUUAGGGCUUUGCUGACUCAUAGAGCUGGAUCCGCGCCGGAUUAGCUAGUUGGUAAGGUAACGGCUUACCAAGGCGACGAUGCGUAGCCGAGCUGAGAGGGUGAUCGGCCACACUGGAACUGAGACACGGUCCAGACUCCUACGGGAGGCAGCAGUGGGGAAUGUUGGGCAAUGGGCGCAAGCUUGACGCAGCAACGCCGCGUGGGUGAUGAAGGCCUUCGGGUCGUAAAACUCUGUUAUUGGGGAAGAAAAGCUGUGUGAGUAACUAUGCACGUCGUGACGGUACCUAAAGAAUAAGCACCGGCUAACUACGUG